CGUAGAUGUUUGUGAUAUGGAAGGCUGCGGAAGUUUCCCUAUAUUAACCCAGUCACCGACAGUCCGACUCAGAGAACAGCGAUGAAUCCACGUUCACACAACCUCUGUAUGUCGUGUUGCCCGUUUGCUGAACUUCAAAGUACUAAACUAGCAGGUUUCUCAGCGAUGGACGGCAGGUGUCUCCUAGCCGGGUCAUUGACAUCCCAGAGCCUCUGGAACUCAGUGAUGAAGGGCAGGACUAGGUCCGGUUCCUCCGUGACCAGGAUGUUCUCCUUGUUGCUCUGGAUGGCGGUCAGCGUCCAGUUCAGGGAGCCGGUGAUUAGGCGCCGGCCGUCCACCACGGCGAACUUGUGGUGCAUGUGGACGGCGCCGGAGUCACACCUCACACAGAUGCCUGGGGAAUGGAAGGGGAAUACACAGGAUGAGAGGGGCCAUGCUAUAUUCUGAAUAGUCACAGUUGUGGUGCAUUGUGGUGGAGUCACACCUCCCACAGAGUUGGACCUCACAGAGAUUCCAAAUAGAGAGAAACAGAAAGAGACAGACAGACAGCUUGUGCCAUUCAUCAUUUGUCUGUCUAAGGAAGUGGUUCCCAACCUUUUUUUUUCCCUUAAAAAAAUUGUGGCACACCUUGAUGGGAUAAAUAAUUUUGCAGCACAUCUGAAAUGUCCCAGUUAAUGUAUUUAAUAGUAAUGAACUCAAUCUAACUGAUCCAAACUGUAUUUUUUUAAAUUAAAUACAUUUUCAUAGUUUCUUAAUAAAGAUGAUUCAUUUGUGUGUACCCAG
Molecule: long non-coding RNA, 783 nt
Organism: Oncorhynchus keta (chum salmon)
Lineage: Eukaryota; Metazoa; Chordata; Actinopteri; Salmoniformes; Salmonidae
Exons: 2
Source: RefSeq, a predicted model, not a curated record